GAUGAACGCUGGCGGCGUGCCUAAUACAUGCAAGUCGAGCGAACAGACGAGGAGCUUGCUCCUCUGACGUUGGCGGCGGACGGGUGAGUAACACGUGGAUAACCUACCUAUAAGACUGGGAUAACUUCGGGAAACCGGAGCUAAUACCGGAUAAUAUAUUGAACCGCAUGGUUCAAUAGUGAAAGACGGUUUUGCUGUCACUUAUAGAUGGAUCCGCGCCGCAUUAGCUAGUUGGUAAGGUAACGGCUUACCAAGGCAACGAUGCGUAGCCGACCUGAGAGGGUGAUUGGCCAAAAUGGAACUGAGAAACGGUCCAGAAUCCUAAGGGAGGCAGCAGUAGGGAAUCUUCCGCAAAGGGCGAAAGCCUGAAGGAGCAAAGCCGCGUGAGUGAUGAAGGUCUUCGGAUCGUAAAAAUCUGUUAUUAGGGAAGAACAAAUGUGUAAGUAACUAUGCACGUCUUGACGGUACCUAAUCAGAAAGCCACGGCUAACUACGUG
This 497-nucleotide ribosomal RNA is filed under the name uncultured bacterium. Its description in RNAcentral is "partial 16S ribosomal RNA". It matches the Rfam family "Bacterial small subunit ribosomal RNA", at positions 28 to 507 of the family's 1533-position model. The record is from RNAcentral.